ACUAAGCGUACACGGUGGAUGCCCUGGCAGUCAGAGGCGAUGAAGGACGUGCUAAUCUGCGAUAAGCGUCGGUAAGGUGAUAUGAACCGUUAUAACCGGCGAUUUCCGAAUGGGGAAACCCAGUGUGUUUCGACACACUAUCAUUAACUGAAUCCAUAGGUUAAUGAGGCGAACCGGGGGAACUGAAACAUCUAAGUACCCCGAGGAAAAGAAAUCAACCGAGAUUCCCCCAGUAGCGGCGAGCGAACGGGGAGCAGCCCAGAGCCUGAAUCAGUGUGUGUGUUAGUGGAAGCGUCUGGAAAGGCGCGCGAUACAGGGUGACAGCCCCGUACACAAAAAUGCACAUGCUGUGAGCUCGAUGAGUAGGGCGGGACACGUGGUAUCCUGUCUGAAUAUGGGGGGACCAUCCUCCAAGGCUAAAUACUCCUGACUGACCGAUAGUGAACCAGUACCGUGAGGGAAAGGCGAAAAGAACCCCGGCGAGGGGAGUGAAAAAGAACCUGAAACCGUGUACGUACAAGCAGUGGGAGCACGCUUAGGCGUGUGACUGCGUACCUUUUGUAUAAUGGGUCAGCGACUUAUAUUCUGUAGCAAGGUUAACCGAAUAGGGGAGCCGAAGGGAAACCGAGUCUUAACUGGGCGUUAAGUUGCAGGGUAUAGACCCGAAACCCGGUGAUCUAGCCAUGGGCAGGUUGAAGGUUGGGUAACACUAACUGGAGGACCGAACCGACUAAUGUUGAAAAAUUAGCGGAUGACUUGUGGCUGGGGGUGAAAGGCCAAUCAAACCGGGAGAUAGCUGGUUCUCCCCGAAAGCUAUUUAGGUAGCGCCUCGUGAAUUCAUCUCCGGGGGUAGAGCACUGUUUCGGCAAGGGGGUCAUCCCGACUUACCAACCCGAUGCAAACUGCGAAUACCGGAGAAUGUUAUCACGGGAGACACACGGCGGGUGCUAACGUCCGUCGUGAAGAGGGAAACAACCCAGACCGCCAGCUAAGGUCCCAAAGUCAUGGUUAAGUGGGAAACGAUGUGGGAAGGCCCAGACAGCCAGGAUGUUGGCUUAGAAGCAGCCAUCAUUUAAAGAAAGCGUAAUAGCUCACUGGUCGAGUCGGCCUGCGCGGAAGAUGUAACGGGGCUAAACCAUGCACCGAAGCUGCGGCAGCGACGCUUAUGCGUUGUUGGGUAGGGGAGCGUUCUGUAAGCCUGCGAAGGUGUGCUGUGAGGCAUGCUGGAGGUAUCAGAAGUGCGAAUGCUGACAUAAGUAACGAUAAAGCGGGUGAAAAGCCCGCUCGCCGGAAGACCAAGGGUUCCUGUCCAACGUUAAUCGGGGCAGGGUGAGUCGACCCCUAAGGCGAGGCCGAAAGGCGUAGUCGAUGGGAAACAGGUUAAUAUUCCUGUACUUGGUGUUACUGCGAAGGGGGGACGGAGAAGGCUAUGUUGGCCGGGCGACGGUUGUCCCGGUUUAAGCGUGUAGGCUGGUUUUCCAGGCAAAUCCGGAAAAUCAAGGCUGAGGCGUGAUGACGAGGCACUACGGUGCUGAAGCAACAAAUGCCCUGCUUCCAGGAAAAGCCUCUAAGCAUCAGGUAACAUCAAAUCGUACCCCAAACCGACACAGGUGGUCAGGUAGAGAAUACCAAGGCGCUUGAGAGAACUCGGGUGAAGGAACUAGGCAAAAUGGUGCCGUAACUUCGGGAGAAGGCACGCUGAUAUGUAGGUGAAGUCCCUCGCGGAUGGAGCUGAAAUCAGUCGAAGAUACCAGCUGGCUGCAACUGUUUAUUAAAAACACAGCACUGUGCAAACACGAAAGUGGACGUAUACGGUGUGACGCCUGCCCGGUGCCGGAAGGUUAAUUGAUGGGGUUAGCCGCAAGGCGAAGCUCUUGAUCGAAGCCCCGGUAAACGGCGGCCGUAACUAUAACGGUCCUAAGGUAGCGAAAUUCCUUGUCGGGUAAGUUCCGACCUGCACGAAUGGCGUAAUGAUGGCCAGGCUGUCUCCACCCGAGACUCAGUGAAAUUGAACUCGCUGUGAAGAUGCAGUGUACCCGCGGCAAGACGGAAAGACCCCGUGAACCUUUACUAUAGCUUGACACUGAACAUUGAGCCUUGAUGUGUAGGAUAGGUGGGAGGCUUGGAAGUGUGGACGCCAGUCUGCAUGGAGCCGACCUUGAAAUACCACCCUUUAAUGUUUGAUGUUCUAACGUUGACCCGUAAUCCGGGUUGCGGACAGUGUCUGGUGGGUAGUUUGACUGGGGCGGUCUCCUCCUAAAGAGUAACGGAGGAGCACGAAGGUUGGCUAAUCCUGGUCGGACAUCAGGAGGUUAGUGCAAUGGCAUAAGCCAGCUUGACUGCGAGCGUGACGGCGCGAGCAGGUGCGAAAGCAGGUCAUAGUGAUCCGGUGGUUCUGAAUGGAAGGGCCAUCGCUCAACGGAUAAAAGGUACUCCGGGGAUAACAGGCUGAUACCGCCCAAGAGUUCAUAUCGACGGCGGUGUUUGGCACCUCGAUGUCGGCUCAUCACAUCCUGGGGCUGAAGUAGGUCCCAAGGGUAUGGCUGUUCGCCAUUUAAAGUGGUACGCGAGCUGGGUUUAGAACGUCGUGAGACAGUUCGGUCCCUAUCUGCCGUGGGCGCUGGAGAACUGAGGGGGGCUGCUCCUAGUACGAGAGGACCGGAGUGGACGCAUCACUGGUGUUCGGGUUGUCAUGCCAAUGGCACUGCCCGGUAGCUAAAUGCGGAAGAGAUAAGUGCUGAAAGCAUCUAAGCACGAAACUUGCCCCGAGAUGAGUUCUCCCUGACCCUUUAAGGGUCCUGAAGGAACGUUGAAGACGACGACGUUGAUAGGCCGGGUGUGUAAGCGCAGCGAUGCGUUGAGCUAACCGGUACUAAUGAACCGUGAGGCUUAACC
RNAcentral lists this ribosomal RNA (2895 nucleotides) under Escherichia coli O15:H11. RNAcentral's name for it is "bacterial LSU rRNA". It matches the Rfam family "Bacterial large subunit ribosomal RNA". Lineage: Bacteria; Pseudomonadati; Pseudomonadota; Gammaproteobacteria; Enterobacterales; Enterobacteriaceae. The record is from RNAcentral.